Molecule: long non-coding RNA, 2316 nt
Organism: Corvus hawaiiensis (hawaiian crow)
Lineage: Eukaryota; Metazoa; Chordata; Aves; Passeriformes; Corvidae
Exons: 3
Source: RefSeq, a predicted model, not a curated record
CGCUCCUCGCCCGCGGCUUAAAUGGCCGUCUGGCAGCGGGCGGAGGGGCUGCGGCUGGCGCUUCCCCGCCUUCCCCCCUCCCUCUUCCCCUGCCGGCAUCUGAUAUCUCCCCCCGCCAAGCCGGGCCGGGCGAGGAAGUGGCUCCCUCCGAAAGUUUCCCGGUCUCUGUGCGCGCCCGCGGAGGGAGCGGCACCACGGGGCGCGCCCCGUCGCCCGCCCGGCCCUGGCACGGUGCUCGAGGGCGGGCGAUCCGCAGAAGGGUCAGGGGUAAGGCGAGCUUAACUUGGCCCCGGAGACUCCGCUGCCCGGCCCGCCGCCGGCCAGAGACUAUAUCUUUCCAGCCCAGAAAAACUGUUCUGUGGAGCUUUUGACACAAUCCUAGAGAGCUGCAGAAGAAGCCAGACCAGAGAAGAACAUUCUAAUUAUCCACUAGAAUGGAGGCCUUGAGCAACAGAUAUUCAAGAGCAAACCUUCAGUCUGUUCCUGGCUUUCUCUCAGACUCGUUGGAUAAUCAUAGUCAAUUGAUUACAGUGGGGUAUUUCAGACCCAACCAUAAAGACAACCAACAAAUAAUCAGUGGGGCAGUUGGUGCAGAACCAGCAGGUCACCUGGGGAAUUACCUCUCCACAAAAAUAGGUUUGUGUUCCUAUGCUUCACAAAGGGCAGAAGCAGCCAACACAUAGAGUAAAACUGGAAUGAGCUCUUUGACAGAGUAUUCUGGGUCAUGACAAGAGUAUGCCAUUAAUUGUUUAGUCAGGGGAAAGAGGUAUGUGAUUGUAGGUAACAUAGCUAAGUCAUCAGUCUUGGUAAUUAUAGGUAAGAAACCAGUAUACUCAGCCAAGCAGUGGAGACAGAUGGAUUAAAAUAAUAUGAUGUCAAUGAGAAAAAGAAGUGACAAAUUCUUCUGUUUUCAAGCUAAAGAAUGCUUGCAAUUUAUUUUGCUUUGAAGAUCUUUGUAUUUUAUACAAAUGGACCGUUUUGAAAAAUUCUAAUUGGCUCACUUCAUACAAAUGCCUGUCCAAGUCUCUUCAAAUCCUUUGAGAAAGGCAGAGGAGACUAGCAAGAUGAAAAAAACAAUGGAAACAGUUAAUGAAUGACCUUGUCUUAUAGUCCUGUUCAAACAUACACUUUCCUUAACAAGUGCAGUAAACUGCAACUUUGAAUUGGAUACGGAAAGAAAUAUCCCCCCUGAAAAGUAAGAUUUAGCUUGGCCAUGAAAGCUGUUCUCUUUAAUGUGGCAACAACAGGAAUACAAGAGCUUCACAUUCCCCUUUUAUAUGUUUAACCUUUGACAAAAAGGUUAAACACUUUCCUCACAACUGACUCACAUCAGGAAACACAAGAACUCCACUCUCCAGAUGAAGCCUGGCUAGCUGAAAAUGCAAUGUCAGCAUCCAAGUGCAUUAAGACAAGGAUUCCUUGUGCAGCUCCUAGUACUGCUACAGGGGCAGGAAGUGGGUCUUUUACAGACAGGAGGGAGAUGAAAUGGUGCCGGGAACAAUAAGGAAGUUCAGGGUGGAGGGAGAAUUAGUUCCAAUUACAAACAUCUCACUGAGAUCUAUUUUAAACACGUUGAUAUAUUAAAACCCCCCUAGCAACACAGCAGGAAAGUUUACAAAACAUUAAAUGGAAUACCUAUGAAAGCUUUCCGUGUUUUCCAUUCUUUGUCUUACAGGUAUUUUAGGGCCGGAUUCUCAUCUGGUGUCAAUGUGCCUAAUUCCCUUCACUUGGCUGAUGAAUGUAAGCUCAAGUUUGGCUGGAUGUGUUGGUUUGUUCAUUGGAAGACUGGUGGCCAAGCUCCUCAACCGUAGCAGCUCCAAAGUCAAUCAAUUCUGCAAGUACCUAAUACGUCAAAAAUUCAGGAUGGGGGACCAGAUAGGGCCAUUGAUUCUUAGUUCCCCAGCUGGCUAGAGAUGUCCAACAGGAUAAAUCCAGGCCCUGUCAGGUGGGACAGAGUUGCCUAUGGAGUGCUGAAGAAUGAAUGCUGGAGGAAAUGAGGAAGUGCUGAGCAGGGACCCAGGAUAAAGCACAAAGAAAUGAUCAGAGGCACAGCUCACUGCUGGCAGCUCUUAAUUUGUACUCUGCAGUACUUCAUCAUCCAAAAAACAGUCCCUCUGGGGCUAUGGAAUAAAUGGCUGGAGGGAGAUAGGUACGAACCAAAACGUCUGGGGAAGGCUGGAGCGAAAAGCUGGUGACAUCUAUGGAGCUGUGGAGUUACUGCAGUUUCCUUUGCCCUCCCCUUUCCUCAGUCAUUCGGGAUAGGAAACAACCCUUUACUCGGCGUGGGAUUCCACACUUAAAACACCGGUCUGCUUA